ACACGUAGGGGCCUGACGUUGUUCGGAAUCAUUGGGCGUAAAGGGCGCGCAGGCGGCCGUCCAAGUCCGGUGUUAAAUGGUCGGGCUCAACCCGAUCAUGCGCUGGAAACUGGGCGGCUUGAGUCCCGUAGGGGAUGCCGGAAUUCCAGGUGUAGGGGUGAAAUCUGUAGAUAUCUGGAAGAGCACCGAUGGCGAAGGCAGGCAUCUGGCCGGAGACUGACGCUGAGGCGCGAAGGCGCGGGGAGCGAACAGGUUUAGAUACCCUGGUAGUCCGCGCAGUAAACGAUGCGCACCAGGUGUCGGGCGGCAGCGCCCGGUACCGGAGCUAACGCGAUGAGUGCGCCGCCUGGGGAGUAUGCCCGCAAGGGUGAAACUCAAAGGAAUUGACGGGG
Molecule: ribosomal RNA, 392 nt
Filed under: uncultured bacterium
Lineage: Bacteria
Description: partial 16S ribosomal RNA
Rfam family: Bacterial small subunit ribosomal RNA
Source: RNAcentral